Molecule: transfer RNA, 74 nt
Filed under: Daphnia pulex (common water flea)
Lineage: Eukaryota; Metazoa; Arthropoda; Branchiopoda; Diplostraca; Daphniidae
Rfam family: tRNA
About the family: Transfer RNA (tRNA) molecules are approximately 80 nucleotides in length.
Source: Rfam by way of RNAcentral
GCCUCCAUAGCGCAGUAGGCACGCGCGCGAGUCUCAUAAUCUCGAGGUUGUGAGUUAGAACCUCACUCGGGGCA